CGAAAGCCUGACGGAGCAAUACCGCGUGAGGGAGGAAGGCCUUUGGGUUGUAAACCUCUUUUCUCAGGGAAGAAGAUCUGACGGUACCUGAGGAAUAAGCAUCGGCUAACUCCGUGCCAGCAGCCGCGGUAAUACGGAGGAUGCAAGCGUUAUCCGGAAUUAUUGGGCGUAAAGCGUCCGCAGGUGGUUUUUCAAGUCUGCUGUCAAAGACCAGAGCUCAACUCUGGGCCGGCAGUGGAAACUGGGAAACUAGAGUUCGGUAGGGGUAGCGGGAAUUCCCAGUGUAGCGGUGAAAUGCGUAGAUAUUGGGAAGAACAUCGGUGGCGAAGGCGCGCUACUGGACCGAAACUGACACUCAGGGACGAAAGCUAGGGGAGCGAAAGGGAUUAGAUACCCCUGUAGUCCUAGCUGUAAACG
RNAcentral lists this ribosomal RNA (417 nucleotides) under Chlorogloeopsis fritschii PCC 6912. RNAcentral describes it as "bacterial SSU rRNA". It matches the Rfam family "Bacterial small subunit ribosomal RNA", at positions 376 to 808 of the family's 1533-position model. Lineage: Bacteria; Bacillati; Cyanobacteriota; Cyanophyceae; Nostocales; Chlorogloeopsidaceae. The record is from RNAcentral.